GCGGCAGGCUACACAUGCAGUCGACGCUCUCUUCGGAGAGAGUGGCAGACGGGUGAGUAACGCGUGGGAAUCUACCCAGUGCUACGGAACAACACAGAGAAAUUUGUGCUAAUACCGUAUACGCCCUACGGGGGAAAGAUUUAUCGGCAUUGGAUGAGCCCGCGUUUGAUUAGCUAGUUGGUGAGGUAAUGGCUCACCAAGGCGACGAUCAAUAGCUGGUCUGAGAGGACGAUCAGCCACACUGGGACUGAGACACGGCCCAGACUCCUACGGGAGGCAGCAGUGGGGAAUAUUGGACAAUGGGCGAAAGCCUGAUCCAGCCAUGCCGCGUGUGUGAUGAAGGCCCUAGGGUUGUAAAGCACUUUCAACGGUGAAGAUAAUGACGGUAACCGUAGAAGAAGCUCCGGCUAACUUCGUGCCAGCAGCCGCGGUAAUACGAAGGGAGCUAGCGUUGUUCGGAAUUACUGGGCGUAAAGCGCGCGUAGGCGGAUUGAUCAGUCAGGGGUGAAAUCCCGGGGCUUAACCCCGGAACUGCCUUUGAUACUGUCAAUCUAGAGUUCGAGAGAGGUGAGUGGAAUUCCGAGUGUAGAGGUGAAAUUCGUAGAUAUUCGGAGGAACACCAGUGGCGAAGGCGGCUCACUGGCUCGAUACUGACGCUGAGGUGCGAAAGUGUGGGGAGCAAACAGGAUUAGAUACCCUGGUAGUCCACACCGUAAACGAUGGAUGCUAGCCGUUGGGCAGUUUACUGUUCAGUGGCGCAGCUAACGCAUUAAGCAUCCCGCCUGGGGGAGU
RNAcentral lists this ribosomal RNA (792 nucleotides) under uncultured bacterium. RNAcentral's name for it is "bacterial SSU rRNA". It matches the Rfam family "Bacterial small subunit ribosomal RNA", at positions 39 to 881 of the family's 1533-position model. The record is from RNAcentral.